GAUGAACGCUGGCGGCGUGCCUAAUACAUGCAAGUCGAGCGACAACACGAGAAGAUUCCUGCUGUCACGUUACCGACGGACGAGUGAGUAACACGUGGAUAACCAACCUAUAAGACUAGGAUAACUUAGGGAAACCGGAGCUAAUACCGGAUAAUAUAUUGAACCGCAGGGAUCAAUAGUCAUAGACGGUUUUGCUGUCACUAAUAGAUGGUUCGGCGCCGGAGUAGGUAGUUGGUAAGGUAACGGCUCACCAAGGCAACGAUGAGUAGCCGACCUGAGAGGACGACCAGCCACACUGGAACUGAGACACGGCCCAGACUCCUACGGGAGGCAGCAGUGGGGAAUCUUCCGCAAUGGGCGAAAGCCUGACGCAGCAACGCCGCGUGCGUGAUGAAGGUCCUCGGGUCGUAAACCGCUUUUGUAAGGAAAGAACCAGUGUGUACGAAACUAGGCGCGUAAUGACGGUACCUAAACAGUAAGCACCGGCUAACUACGUG
This 497-nucleotide ribosomal RNA is filed under the name uncultured bacterium. Its description in RNAcentral is "partial 16S ribosomal RNA". It matches the Rfam family "Bacterial small subunit ribosomal RNA", at positions 28 to 507 of the family's 1533-position model. The record is from RNAcentral.